GGUGGCUCAGUGGUAGAGUGUUUGCCUUGCAUGCAUGAGGCUCUGGGUUCAAUUCCUCAGCACCA
Molecule: transfer RNA, 65 nt
Filed under: Dipodomys ordii (Ord's kangaroo rat)
Lineage: Eukaryota; Metazoa; Chordata; Mammalia; Rodentia; Heteromyidae
Rfam family: tRNA
About the family: Transfer RNA (tRNA) molecules are approximately 80 nucleotides in length.
Source: Rfam by way of RNAcentral